UACGUAGGGUGCAAGCGUUGUCCGGAAUUAUUGGGCGUAAAGAGCUUGUAGGCGGUUUGUCGCGUCUGCUGUGAAAAUCCGGGGGCUCAACCCCGGACUUGCAGUGGGUACGGGCAGACUAGAGUGUGGUAGGGGAGACUGGAAUUCCUGGUGUAGCGGUGAAAUGCGCAGAUAUCAGGAGGAACACCGAUGGCGAAGGCAGGUCUCUGGGCCACUACUGACGCUGAGAAGCGAAAGCAUGGGGAGGCGAACAGGAUUAGAUACCCGU
This 268-nucleotide ribosomal RNA is filed under the name uncultured prokaryote. RNAcentral's name for it is "partial 16S ribosomal RNA". It matches the Rfam family "Bacterial small subunit ribosomal RNA", at positions 524 to 789 of the family's 1533-position model. The record is from RNAcentral.